GCAGCCAAGUCGUGAGGCGGAGCUAAUCCCCUUAAAGCCAUUNUCAGUUCGGAUUGUAGGCUGAAACUCGCCUACAUGAAGCUGGAGUUACUAGUAAUCGCAGAUCAGAAUGCUGCGGUGAAUGCGUUCCCGGGUCUUGUACACACCGCCCGUCACACCACGGAAGUUGGGGGCGCCCGAAGCCACUUAGCUAACCCUUUUGGAAAGCGAGUGUCGAAGGUGAAAUCAAUAACUGGGGUGAAGUCGUAACAAGGUACC
Molecule: ribosomal RNA, 258 nt
Filed under: uncultured bacterium
Lineage: Bacteria
Description: partial 16S ribosomal RNA
Rfam family: Bacterial small subunit ribosomal RNA
Source: RNAcentral